Molecule: long non-coding RNA, 1383 nt
Organism: Esox lucius (northern pike)
Lineage: Eukaryota; Metazoa; Chordata; Actinopteri; Esociformes; Esocidae
Exons: 4
Source: RefSeq, a predicted model, not a curated record
GCAAAGCUCAGCUCAUUUUUGGAAACUACAAUAUUCGCAAACUCAUUCUACCUGCAGGCAUACCAAGCAGCCUCACAGACCAGUCUGGUCAGUUUUUCACUCUAACUCACAUUGGAGAUGUGGAGGAUCAUGUAACAUUAAAGGUUGUGCCAGUAAAGCCAGUUGUCCUCACUUUCAGUUUAGUGGAAGAAAUAGAGGUUGACUCACCUCCACCACAAGAAUCCUCUGAUACUAUCUCCACCCACUCAUCAUCAGACACCAUCAUUCUCUCCUCCUCUGAUGAAAGCAGAACUUCCCGACGCUCUCAACCAUGGCCGGCCAGAUUUGAAAUACUGACAUUUUCCUUUGAUGUAGAACAACAUUUGCAGGCUGGAAACCAAGCAUUCUUGAAGGAUGGUGCCCUGCUCAACCACCAAAGUGACAAGCAGCAUACUGGAGAAGCUUGCAGAGGUGGGUUUUGGUUACACGGCAUACCCCACAGGGAUUCAAAUUUUGACAGUGGUCGAAGCCUUUAUCAAAAAGUUCCCAUGUCUCAGGGAACCAGGGUCUUUUAAUGGCAUUCAUGGGUGGCAGCAGACGAUGAAAUGGAAAAUGGGAAAUUACUGUGCAAAAUUGAGAGGCCGUCAACUAGCCUGUCCAGAGCUAGAAGUGAACUCGCUGAAAAGACAGAGGUCAAAUGAGAAUGGCUCAAGCAAAGGCAUCAAAAAGCGCAAGAAGGCAGAGGUAAACUACCUGCCUCCACUGCCAAUUGGGGACACGGAAGCCACUUCAGAUAAGAAGAGGGUAGACAUGCUGCAAGGAGUUAAGAAAAAUAAUGAGCGCAUAAUAUCAGAGAAAAUGAAAAGAUCUUUCUCCUUCCGAAGACAGGAAGUUGUAAAGCAGUGCCCCGCCAUCCAAGAUUUCCGGGAGAGAUGGCCUGCUCUUUUCUCUGAAGCUCAGAUCAAUUAGGAAUUCAAAAGAAUCACAACAUUUCCCUAGGAAAUAACUUAUCUCACUAAGCUGGACUUCUGCACUCCAAAAAUGUAGGAGAUAUUCAGCAAAAAUGUGGAAUAGCUGGGACCAAAAUACGACCACUUCUGGAUUCACUCAGCCAGCGACAUGUUGAAACGAGACGGGAGGCCAUUAUUCGCGCCCUGAUGGAAUUCCUGGGGGAGUCUUCAGGGGAACUCAUCAAGGACUACAAGGAUAUCAGGAGAGAGGAAGCUCAAGAGUACCCGGCUGAGCAAGUCCUGAGGAUCUGUGUCUUCCACACAAGUGCAGAAGGUGAUGGUGCAUCCGAAACUGAUGUGUCCAUUGUUAUUGAAGGGACUGAGGUACUUGACAACUGUGGAAGUGUUGCAAAGGCCUGUCUCCUGCUCAUGGGCAUCAUAUAUGCCAUGAACU